RNAcentral lists this ribosomal RNA (440 nucleotides) under uncultured bacterium. Its description in RNAcentral is "partial 16S ribosomal RNA". It matches the Rfam family "Bacterial small subunit ribosomal RNA", at positions 338 to 795 of the family's 1533-position model. The record is from RNAcentral.
CCUACGGGUGGCAGCAGUGGGGAAUAUUGCUCAAUGGGGGAAACCCUGAUGCAGCGACGCCGCGUGAAGGAUGAAGUAUCUCGGUGUGUAAACUUUUAUCAGCAGGGAAGUAAAUGACGGUACCUGACUAAGAAGCCCCGGCUAACUACGUGCCAGCAGCCGCGGUAAUACGUAGGGGGCAAGCGUUAUCCGGAUUUACUGGGUGUAAAGGGAGCGUAGGCGGUUUAGAAAGUCAGAAGUGAAAGCCCGGGGCUCAACCCCGGGACUGCAUUUGAAACUGUUGAACUAGAUUGCAGGAGAGGUAAGUGGAAUUCGUAGUGUAGCGGUGAAAUGCGUAGAUAUUAGGAGGAACACCAGUUGCGAAGGCGGCUUACUGGACUGUAAAUGACGCUGAGGCUCGAAAGCGUGGGGAGCAAACAGGAUUAGAUACCCGGGUAGUC